AUAUCAGUCAUGCAUAGCAUAUCAAUAAGCGGAGGAAAAGAAACUAACAAGGAUUCCCUUAGUAACGGCGAGUGAAGCGGGAAGAGCUCAAAUUUGAAAUCUUCAAGGUUUUACCUUGACGAAUUGUAGUUUAAAGAAGUGUUUUCUGUUGAAGUUUUGGUAAAAGUUCUUUGGAAUAGGACAUCAUAGAGGGUGAGAAUCCCGUAUUUGAUCCAUUACUUUCAGCUUUGUGAUACACUUUCGAAGAGUCGGAUUGUUUGGGAAUGCAGUCCAAAAUGGGUGGUAAAUUUCAUCUAAAGCUAAAUAUUGGCGAGAGACCGAUAGCGAACAAGUACCGUGAGGGAAAGAUGAAAAGAACUUUGAAAAGAGAGUUAAACAGUACGUGAAAUUGUCAAAAGGGAAGCGUUUGACACCAGUGUUGUUUUCUCGAAAAUCAAUUAAAAAGAGUUGGAUUUUGUGUUGUAUUGACUUUAUCGGCUUUCUUCACUCUUUUCCAGCUUUUUUUAAUGCACUUUUCGUUUAACAAGUCAACAUCAGUUUCUUUUGUUGUAAAAAGGUCAUUGGAAGGUAGGCUUUCUCUUCGGAGAAAGUGUUUAUAGCCUUUGACUCAUGCAAUCGGAGAGACUGAGGUCUGCAGCGUAGAUCCUUCGGGGUUAGAUACAUUUGUGCUAAGUUAUAGCUUUUCAUAGACAACUUGUUGACUAUGUUUAGUCUUGUAGCUUACUCGCUUAUGCUAUUUUACCUACGCUUAGGAUGUUGAACUCUAUCACACACAG
RNAcentral lists this ribosomal RNA (776 nucleotides) under uncultured Neocallimastigales. Its description in RNAcentral is "partial large subunit ribosomal RNA". It matches the Rfam family "Eukaryotic large subunit ribosomal RNA", at positions 22 to 621 of the family's 3401-position model. Lineage: Eukaryota; Fungi; Neocallimastigomycota; Neocallimastigomycetes; Neocallimastigales. The record is from RNAcentral.